GACGAAGGAUGCAAGCGUUAUCCGGAUUCAUUGGGUUUAAAGGGAGCGUAGGCGGCCUUAUAAGUCAGUGGUGAAAUCUUUGGGCUUAACCCAAAAAUUGCCAUUGAUACUGUAGGGCUUGAGUACAGUUGCUGUGGGCGGAAUAUGACAUGUAGUGGUGAAAUACAUAGAGAUGUCAUAGAACGCCGAUUGCGAAGGCAGCUCACAAAACUGUAACUGACGCUGAGGCUCGAAAGUGCGGGGAUCAAACAGG
RNAcentral lists this ribosomal RNA (253 nucleotides) under uncultured bacterium. RNAcentral's name for it is "partial 16S ribosomal RNA". It matches the Rfam family "Bacterial small subunit ribosomal RNA", at positions 524 to 776 of the family's 1533-position model. The record is from RNAcentral.